GAUGAACGCUAGCUACAGGCUUAACACAUGCAAGUCGAGGGGAAACGACAUCGAAAGCUUGCUUUUGAUGGGCGUCGACCGGCGCACGGGUGAGUAACGCGUAUCCAACCUGCCCACCACUUGGGGAUAACCUUGCGAAAGUAAGACUAAUACCCGAUGAUAUCUCUAGAAGACAUCUGAAAGGGAUUAAAGAUUUAUCGGUGAUGGAUGGGGAUGCGUCUGAUUAGCUUGUUGGCGGGGUAACGGCCCACCAAGGCAACGAUCAGUAGGGGUUCUGAGAGGAAGGUCCCCCACAUUGGAACUGAGACACGGUCCAAACUCCUACGGGAGGCAGCAGUGAGGAAUCUUCCGCAAUGGGCAAAGCCUGACGGAGCAACGCCGCGUGAGUGAUGACGGCC
Molecule: ribosomal RNA, 398 nt
Filed under: uncultured bacterium
Lineage: Bacteria
Description: bacterial SSU rRNA
Rfam family: Bacterial small subunit ribosomal RNA
Source: RNAcentral